RNAcentral lists this non-coding RNA (25 nucleotides) under Trypanosoma brucei brucei. Lineage: Eukaryota; Euglenozoa; Kinetoplastea; Trypanosomatida; Trypanosomatidae. The record is from RNAcentral.
GGAUUUGAAGGGGUGACAGUACCCC